Molecule: ribosomal RNA, 253 nt
Filed under: uncultured bacterium
Lineage: Bacteria
Description: partial 16S ribosomal RNA
Rfam family: Bacterial small subunit ribosomal RNA
Source: RNAcentral
GACGGAGGAUGCAAGUGUUAUCCGGAAUCACUGGGCGUAAAGCGUCUGUAGGUGGUCAAAUAAGUCAACUGUUAAAUCUUGAGGCUCAACCUCAAAAUCGCAGUCGAAACUAUUCGACUAGAGUAUAGUAGGGGUAAAGGGAAUUUCCAGUGGAGCGGUGAAAUGCGUAGAGAUUGGAAAGAACACCGAUGGCGAAGGCGACGUGCUGGGUUGCACCUGACGCUGAGAUGCGAAAGUGUGGGGAGCAAACGGG